Cornus florida is the source of this 738-nucleotide long non-coding RNA. RefSeq lists it as uncharacterized. NCBI's taxonomy places the organism in Eukaryota, Viridiplantae, Streptophyta, Magnoliopsida, Cornales, Cornaceae. The record is from RefSeq and is a predicted model, not a curated record. The transcript has 2 exons.
UGUAGCUUUCCAAACAAGCCAUAAUAAGGCUUUCAUUGUAAGCAAGAAUUGAGCUUUCUCCUUGUGCCAAGUAUGUCACCGUGGAUGACUUAAAUAUUAAGAAUCCCACAAAACAUAUACAUAUACAUAUAUAUAUAUAUACAUAUACAUAUAUAUAUAACACUAUAUAGUUUUUGGAGAACAAUAAAAAGGUGUUGUGGGAGUUUUCGGAAAUAAGAAGACGCACUCUUUGAAAACACGGAGAACUCUUUUCACUUAAAAAGAACGGGAGUAGGAUAUCUCGUUUAUAACAUUACCCACAUCUCCUCAGCUGCACCAAGUGUUCUCUCUCUUCAAGGCUUGAAGUUCUAACAGAUUUCUUUGCAAAGUCUCUCUUCAAGCUAUCUCUCUCUCAGUUUCUUGCGUUUUUCUUAGGCAGAAAGGUCGAUCUGCGUUUCUCUUCCUACCAUCAUCUCUGUGUGCGGCACAAAUGGGAAUCCUUAGAACUCAUCUGAAGAAUGAAAUGUGGGCAUCAUUCAGAGGCAAUGCUAGAUGAAGUUACUUUUACAAUUCUCCAAUGUUUUACUUUGAUUAGCUAUUUGUGUAAUUUUAUAAUAUUUUGUUUUGGUUAUGUAUGACUAAAAUUAAUGUUUGUACAACUAAAAGUGCAUAUGACACUUGAAGUAAUUCCUGUAACUCUUUUAUUGUAUAUAAAUUUAGUGAAAUUUUAAUUAAACUUGAUAUAUUGUAUUUGUCCAA